GGGUGCGAUAAUACUAGAACUAAUGCACCGGAUCCCAUCAGAACUUCGAAGUUAAACGUGCUUGGGCGAGAGUAGUACUAAGAUGGGUGACCUCUUGGGAAGUCCUCGUGUUGCACCCU
RNAcentral lists this ribosomal RNA (119 nucleotides) under Ricinus communis (castor bean). Lineage: Eukaryota; Viridiplantae; Streptophyta; Magnoliopsida; Malpighiales; Euphorbiaceae. The record is from RNAcentral.